RNAcentral lists this ribosomal RNA (483 nucleotides) under uncultured bacterium. RNAcentral describes it as "partial 16S ribosomal RNA". It matches the Rfam family "Bacterial small subunit ribosomal RNA", at positions 28 to 507 of the family's 1533-position model. The record is from RNAcentral.
GACGAACGCUGGCGGCGUGCUUAACACAUGCAAGUCGAACGCUGAAGCUCAGCUUUUGUUGGGUGGAUGAGUGGCGAACGGGUGAGUAACACGUGAGUAACCUGCCCCCUUCUUUGGGAUAACGCCCGGAAACGGGUGCUAAUACUGGAUAUUCACUGGUCUUCGCAUGGGGGUUGGUGGAAAGGGUUUUUCUGGUGGGGGAUGGGCUCGCGGCCUAUCAGCUUGUUGGUGGGGUGAUGGCCUACCAAGGCUUUGACGGGUAGCCGGCCUGAGAGGGUGACCGGUCACAUUGGGACGGAGAUACGGCCCAGACUCCGACGGGAGGCAGCAGUGGGGAAUAUUGCACAAUGGGCGCAAGCCUGAUGCAGCGACGCCGCGUGAGGGAUGGAGGCCUUCGGGUUGUGAACCUCUUUCGCUCAUGGUCAAGCCGCAACAAUGGUUGUGGUGAGGGUAGUGGGUAAAGAAGCGCCGGCUAACUACGUG